CCCUUAGAUGUUCUGGGCCGCACGCGCGCUACACUGACGGAGUCAACGAGUUGUCCUGCAUCGGAAGGUGUGGGUAAUCUUUUGAAACUUCGUCGUACUGGGGAUAGAUCUUUGCAAUUUUCGAUCUUGAACGAGGAAUUCCUAGUAAGCGUGAUUCAUCAGAUCGCGUUGAUUACGUCCCUGCCCUUUGUACACACCGCCCGUCGCUACUACCGAUUGAAUGGUUUAGUGAGGCCUCGGGACUGGCGCGCUCGAGUAGCAAUACACCUGCGCGCCGGGAACUUGGUCAAACUUGNUNAUUUAGNGGAAGUAAAANUCGUANCA
Molecule: ribosomal RNA, 324 nt
Filed under: uncultured eukaryote
Lineage: Eukaryota
Description: partial 18S ribosomal RNA
Rfam family: Eukaryotic small subunit ribosomal RNA
Source: RNAcentral